Molecule: long non-coding RNA, 457 nt
Filed under: Panax ginseng (ginseng)
Lineage: Eukaryota; Viridiplantae; Streptophyta; Magnoliopsida; Apiales; Araliaceae
Description: long non-coding RNA (PGIN_LNC002934)
Source: RNAcentral
CGUUUCAUUAAAAAAAUUAAUUUUUUUUUUAUUAUUAGGUAUGGCCUAUGGGUCUUAAUUCUUCUAUUCUUCUCUUCAUCUCUUCCCAGUUCCCUCCCGCCUCUCUAGUCUCUUCUGCAGCUUCUGUUCUUCAUCUCUUCGAGACUUCGACUCUUCCCUCCCGCCACUGCUGCCGCCGCCAGUCGCUGCCAACCUCCAUCUCUUGCCCGCCGCCUGUUUUGUACUUUGGUUUGGUAAGUAAUUUAACUAAUUUUUAAUUUUAAUUUAGCCUAAAUGUCUUUCAAAUUUGGUACUAUUAAUUUUAAUUUAGCCUAACUAUGCAUACUAUUAAUGUUUCCUGUUAAUUAGGUCUCCACUUUGUAUGUAAUUUUGAUGAUGACAAUUGACAAAUAAAUUUAGGGAUAUAAGAAAAAGAAUAAAAAUUGAUUUUAUUUUUAAUUGAUUUUCUGUUAAUUUA